RNAcentral lists this small RNA (1301 nucleotides) under Cryptococcus neoformans H99. RNAcentral describes it as "Cryptococcus neoformans var. grubii H99 hypothetical RNA". The record is from RNAcentral. Lineage: Eukaryota; Fungi; Basidiomycota; Tremellomycetes; Tremellales; Cryptococcaceae.
ACGACAUCGGACAUCAUUUAUCUAAAACCUACUUCUACUCCUGGCCAUCAGGGGUGGGAAAGUCAUUAUAUCAGGAACGCCGCCAAUAGAGAACUUUCGCAUUGGAUACUUGAGUAAGCUCGUCAGCGGUCAUCUAAAAUGCAGCAGAAGUAAAAAAAAACUGAAAGUGUACAUGCGUGUCAUCAAUUUAGGAAAGUCUAUCGAGAAAUUAGGAGAAAAAUAGCCCUGAAUUCUUCAACAUGUUCCUAGCAACCCAUCACCAUUACUCGUCAUCAUGGACCAAUUACUCGCUGUCCUCGUCCUCGUCCUGCUCCUCACGCAAAGCCUUCUCAACUUCUGACCUCUUUUGCUCCCUGAUCUUCCUCUGCAAUCUCAUCCAGUUUCCAAUGGGAGUCACUUCAGGCCCCUGUCCUUCCAAGAACCUGUCGACCUCUGCCCUAUCCCUAGGAGCAAAAGAGACGUUUCGACGCUUGUUCUCAAUGAAUGUUCGGGUAGCCUCGAGUUUCUCAACAAGGGCCUUAAGGGAAGAGACAACCUUGGGAGAACCAGCAGACCCCUUCUUGAUGUGCUUCUUGAUGGUCAAGAUAACAGGCAAAACCAUUUCGGGGAAGGCAACUUGUGUAGAGACAGCGGCAUGGUAUUCUCCCAAAAGGAACACCAACUCUUCACCCAAGCCUUCCUGGAAGACUCGAGUCUUGGGAUAAGCCGCAGGGGCACGGAUGAUGUACUCGAAGUCAAGAGGCUUGAUAGUACCUUUCUUGGGGUUGGCGCGUCUGAACUCGGUAGAAUCGAGGAUCUCGAGAAGGAAGGGAGCGAGGGGAAUGUAAGUGCCGGUGCGACUGAUGAUACGGAGGAGAGAGUGAAGGAUGUGGAAUCGGAGAGGGAAGUAUCGCGAGGAAGGAAGGAGUCUAUAUUUUUCGUUAACUGUCAACUCAUACAUUACUGUGUUUCUGAGACUUACCGGACAGCACCCAAUGCAAUCUGAACAAGGGGAUAGACCAAAGGCUUCAAAGGGCUUUCCAAUCCAGCAUUCGCCUUCUGGUUCUCAACGCUUGCCGCACCAGCCAAAACCUGACUCCAGAAAUCGAUACAAUGGACAUAUUGCCAGUUGUAAACUGUCUUAAAGGCCUGUUGAUUGUCACCUGCCUUGCCGGUGGUACUUGACCGCACAACAUUACGCAAAUGCACAGCAAGCAUACGGAUAAAGCCGAAGGCAUGCUGGUAAGAAAGAGAGGGGGCGAGUUGAUAAAGCUCAGAAGCAGUGUUCUUCAUGAGGUUGAGAGAUGGAAGGGUAUGCGGAG